CCUACGGUAGGCAGCAGUGGGGAAUAUUGCGCAAUGGGCGACAGCCUGACGCAGCGACGCCGCGUGAGGGAUGAAGGUCUUCGUAUCGUACACCUCUGUCAGCAGGGAAGAACGGUCACUGUGCUAAUCAGCAGUGAAUUGACGGUACCUGCAAAGGACGCACCGGCUAACUCCGUGCCCUCAGCCGCGGUAAUACGGAGGGUGCGAGCGUGAAUCGGAAUUACUGGGCGUAAAGCGCUCGUAGGCGGUAUGUCAAGUCAAGGGUGAAAUCCCCGCGCUCAACGUGGGAACUGCCUUUGAAACGGGCAAACUGGAGUGUGUGAGAGGAUAGUGGAAUUCCAGGUGUAGGAGUGAACUCCGUAGAUAUCUGGAGGAACAUCAGUGGCGAAGGCGACUAUCUGGCACAUAACUGACGCUGAGGAGCGAAAGCGUGGGUAGCAAACAGGAUUAGAUACCCGGGUAGUC
This 465-nucleotide ribosomal RNA is filed under the name uncultured bacterium. Its description in RNAcentral is "partial 16S ribosomal RNA". It matches the Rfam family "Bacterial small subunit ribosomal RNA", at positions 338 to 795 of the family's 1533-position model. The record is from RNAcentral.